AAAACUGAAAAAAAAAAAAAAAAAAAAUCCUUGUGAUAAUUUUGUAGACAAAUAAAUUAAAAAGAAAAGGAAGAAAAGAGAGGAAAAUGAAUAAACAUGACGGGUUUGCUCUGUGAUGAGUCUUUCUCUCCCACACCACAAUUAAUCAGAGGGUUGGUUCUCUUCUCGAUCCUUGAUUCUAUUGCUGGAAUCCCUUUUAUAUACGCUGAAAGGAAGGAAGGAGGGGGUUCCAUAAUUCCAGUCUAGGGUUUUCCAGUGUUAUGUAUUUGCGACUGAGGUCUUAUCUGACAUUUGAUAUUUGACUGGUAUGUAUGGUUGCUAGAUUUGAACUUGUCUCUCUGGUUUGCUUGUUUUGGAUUGCCUUUUUCCACCAACAUGCUGUAGGAAUUUGAGAAUUGAGGGCUGUUUCUAAUUUCGCUGCCUGUUGCCUGUUGAAGACGGGGACUUUGCUUUUCGAUUCGUUUGCAUAACUCCGAGCGGAGCAGUCAUCCAAGGCGGAGGAGAAACAAAAAAAAGAUAAAGGCAAUUUUGUAACCCGUUCGUCAUUAAUCCUUUGGUUUUGUUGGAACAGGAAUCCCACUGGCGAGCAAUCGGUUUCUUCCGCGAUUUGUAGUUACUACUUUAAGCUGUUUGAUGGUGCUGUUUGGGCGAUAUAUGUGAUUAUCUUAUCUGGUUGGAGAUUUUUUCCCCCCUUUAAUCUUAUUUUUUGAAUUACGGAAAUUAGGGGAGAAGGCGGGGAUAGCAUAGUCUAUAUAAAAGGCGAGGAUGGAAAAGGGGAUGGCACCUCUUGAGGGUAAUGAUGGUUGGAUUGUGGUGAAUGAGACUAAUUCCGAAGACCCCAUAUAUAUCGACAUGGAAACUGAGUAUGUGAUUGAUAGUCCGAAGAAUGGCAUUCAAGGUUUUGCAUCAGACAAAGGAGAGGGAAGUAAUGUGGUAUCCUCUAGAGAAGGACCUCUUGUCAGGAAGGAGUCGAGAAUGCCCACUAGUUGUAGUUGCAGUGCCAAGAAACUCAAAUCUCAGGUGGAUGCGGCAGACUCCAACCCAGAGAGGAAGGAUAAAGUUGGGCAAGAGAAGAAGCUCAGUAGACAAGAUAGGAUUGAAUUGGGCCGCAUGUUUCAGGGUGCAGUGAGUUCCCAUGAUUGGGAAGUUGCUGAGAGUUUGAUCCUGGUGGCUGAUCCACAAACCCUGAAUGAUGCUUUGUGCAUGACUUUGGAUUCAAUAUGGUUCUUGAGCACUCACGAAGAGCUUUAUGGGAUAACGGGAUUAAUUAAGAAGAUCAUUGUCAAUGGUGCAUAUGACUUCACGAGAGCUGCCUUGCGCACUUCAUUUCUUGCUUCGUGUGUUUCUGCUUGUCAGAGCCGAACAAUGAGUCUUGCUGAUACAGUCACAGUAAUGGCCCAAAGGUUGCAUGAGCGCCUCCACGAAUGCAAUGGAGAUGAGGUCUUGAAGGCAGAAGCUGCUGCUAAGGUUCAAAAGUUUACUGAAUGGGCUCUGAAAUGUAUAGGCUUUCAUUCUCGUUCCCAAGGUAAUAAGGAUAGAGUUAACAACAGCUCAUUGGUUGAGAUCCAACUCCAGUUAUCAGCAUUUAAGGCGUUCAUAGAUCUUGCUGGUAACCAGCUUUCUGGGAAGGACUUCACUGAGGCCUUUGAUGCUGCUUGCUUCCCCCUAACUCUCUUCUCUAGUUCAUUCGAUUCUGGCUGGGCAUCUGGGAUAUCGGCAACUGCAAUUCAAGGUUUGCUGGGUAUGUUGGUGGAGGGAGGUGCAGACAAUGUCAAUCAGUGUUUCCUUGAAGCCUCUCGUUUUGGGAGUACUGAGCUUGUGCGCAUCUUAUUGCAGAUUGCCCAAAGGAACAGUUUGGAUGUUGAUGUUGACCUGGCUUUGGGUUUUGCUUCUCACUACUGCAAGAUUGGUACUAUGGAAUGUCUUGUGGAAGAAGGCAAUGCGAUAGCUUUUUUGGGCCCUCUGAUGAGAGCUGCUGAGAGGGGCUGUAUGCAGGUUGUUGAGUGGUUUGUGAAAAGGGGUUGCCGAGACAUGGAGCUCUGCCUUGCUCUCACAGCUGCAACUUCCAGCAGCCAAGUUGAUAUUGCUGCCUAUCUCCUCCCUCAUGUUCCUCAUCAUGUCCUUGCUGCACUAAGCAUUGAAAUUCUGAAGGCUGCUGGUGAACGAAGUGGUGGUUCUCUUGAUGGUGUUGCAUUUCUUCUUCAUUCCAACUUCAUGGGUGAUCCUGCAGCUACUUAUGCUGUUGCCAACAGUAUUGCUCUGUCUGAUGAUGAGGGUAUAGCUCCUGAGUUAAGGGCUUUUCUUCGGGGGCACUGGUCAGAGGAAGCUUUCUUGGAUGGAAUUAAACAAGGACAAGAACAUUACAUGAACAUUGUGAGGAUUUUAAAAUGGGGUGAAUCUCCUAUCUGCUUAAGAGAUCUUCCAACCCCUCUAGGGAUAGCAAUCGGUUACCUGCCACUGUAUAGGGAGUGUGUGAGGGCGGGUGGCUGUUUGUUGUCACAAAGGCUGAGAGGACAGCUUGUUGAAGCAGUUAGAAGGCUUGGCGGUGGAGUCUUAGAAGGGGCGAGCCAGUGCAAAGAGCUAUUGGCUCUUCUGGAGCAUCAUCUCCCUCCAUUUUUUACUUGAUCUGCCUAGCUCAGUGCAGCAAGGUGUUGCUCGUAUAUGUUCUGGGACUUAGCUUCCAUUUGUCCUCGGCUAUCUGAUAAAUUUGUAAUGGAUGAUAACAACAGUUUAGAGAUGGGGUCAGGUGACAAAGCCAAGAAAAGUAAUUUGUCAAAGACGGCUCCGAGUUCAAAUGGAAUGGAAUGCCGCUGCACCUUGACGACCGGCCUGGAUGAAGUGGUACUUAUGGCAUCAGCAGCCGCAGCCCCUUUUUUUCUUUGCCACCUUUCUUUCGUGUGCAUGUAGGAGCCAGCCAGCGGGCCACCGACCAAAACAUGGAAUUGAAUAGAAUUGGGAGUCUUAUAUUUCGUUUGCCUUUAUUAUUUAAUGAAAUUAAUUCCAACCCAACUGAAAAGUAACCAUGUGAUAUUCCACAUGGGGUAUUUUAUUUGACCGCGAGUCGGCAGUGGAAUUAUUCCUGAAACAAAUAAGGACCUUUGUUGUAUUCUACACUUGAUUUAUUGGCAUAUUUUCGAGACGGAA
RNA transcript from Pyrus x bretschneideri (Chinese white pear), 3144 nucleotides. It is a transcript of the gene named ankyrin repeat protein SKIP35, with no coding region annotated. NCBI's taxonomy places the organism in Eukaryota, Viridiplantae, Streptophyta, Magnoliopsida, Rosales, Rosaceae. The record is from RefSeq and is a predicted model, not a curated record. The transcript is spliced from 5 exons.